CACUCAGCGCCGAUGCUGACAGCCUAGCUGAGAGUCCAACAUCAUCUUCAGAAGGCGAUGGGGGCGUGACGUGUCAGCAGGCCUACAGCGGGGGACAGCCAUCACAGGACAAGUCCUGCAGGGCGACUUUUCUCUGACCUCCAUCUGCAUACGGGCCGGGGAGCUGCUGAGUCGCCUCAUCCCGAGCCGCUUGAAUACGAUCACACGUUAACGACCUUCACAAGUAAACAAGCCAGGCACACGGCCGUCUGCAUACAUGUCAACACUGGGAGCAAGCGGCG
Austrofundulus limnaeus is the source of this 281-nucleotide long non-coding RNA. RefSeq lists it as uncharacterized. The record is from RefSeq and is a predicted model, not a curated record. The transcript is spliced from 3 exons. Lineage: Eukaryota; Metazoa; Chordata; Actinopteri; Cyprinodontiformes; Rivulidae.